This 74-nucleotide transfer RNA is filed under the name Candidatus Vampirococcus lugosii. RNAcentral describes it as "tRNA-Lys". It matches the Rfam family "tRNA". From Rfam's summary of the family: Transfer RNA (tRNA) molecules are approximately 80 nucleotides in length. Their secondary structure includes four short double-helical elements and three loops (D, anti-codon, and T loops). The record is from RNAcentral. Lineage: Bacteria; Candidatus Absconditibacteriota.
GGACCUGUAGCUCAGCCUGGCAGAGCACUGGGCUUUUAACCCAGGUGUCAGGGGUUCAAAUCCCCUCGGGUUCA